AUGGAGGGUAAACAGAAGACAGAAGAAGAGGAAGCGCCUUGCGAAGUAUGCAGAGAAAGAAGACUCUCCGGGCCAGUGUCCUGUGGACUUAGACCUCUGCUCCAGGUCAGUAAAGUUUCACCCUUCAUCCACUCCGCUGCUGAUCAGUGCCCAAUUCUCUGCUCCUCUCUACCUUGUCUCUGCAGAAACUCACCUUGGAAUUCAGUUCUCUCAUCUGCUCUUGGGUGCUUCCUUCUGCAGAUGGGCCCACCAGUAAUAAUCUAUUCAUCUGAUCAGCACAAGAGGCUUUACUCUUCAGGCUUAGCUCUCAAAGGAAGUCCUGGGUGCUGAAGUUUUUUGGCUGGGUUUCUGGUAUUUACUGCUCAGAAAAUUUGUCUCCAGAGUCAUAUUUUUACAAGGACAGAUUUUCCAUAAAAAGCAAAUUUUGGACAUCAACUUGUUCUAAGACAAAAAAAAAUUAUUUGCAGAGCUAGCCCUAAGAAAAAUUGAGCUGCCUUACCUAUAAAAUGGUAAUAAUACCUGUUGUGAAGAUUAAAUGCAAUAACAGUGCUGAGCCAGGGCCUGGCACAGGAGUUGAAUAAAUUGUGCUCACCUCCCCAGGUCCCCGAAGGAGCCGCACUGCCAAGUCUGAGGGAUAUCAUUUCUCUGAGUCUGAUAAUUUCUAGAUCAGUAAACAGUCAGGGCUUACUCAGGGAGUUUGAACCUCAUGGGUGGCAUAGAAUUAAGGACUCACUACAUGGACUAGAUCUUGGGCAAGCAAUGUGGGAGCUGGUGGAAAAGCCUAGAAAGGUCAUUGCUUCUGCAUCUGACAGGGGCCUGAAGUCACUGAGGUCAGCAGGAAAGGCUAGCUGGAAGAAAAGCUAGGUGUGAAGAAGGAACCCACAGGGAUAGACUGGAGCCCAUGUCUAUUCUCACCACCAUCAAACUUGAUGAUGCAGUUAACAUGGAGAAGAUAACUGGUGCAUAUGCCAUAGAGCUAUACCCGUGCAGCCCAGGACUUGGAGAAGCUGAAGGAAGGGGUGGAUGGGAGCCGGGGGAACUGAGGGUCCAGUGCAGCGCUGCCCACAGCCUCCAGGUCAGUGAGUG
Molecule: long non-coding RNA, 1086 nt
Filed under: Macaca mulatta (Rhesus monkey)
Lineage: Eukaryota; Metazoa; Chordata; Mammalia; Primates; Cercopithecidae
Description: lncRNA (ENSMMUG00000055136.1)
Source: RNAcentral